GAUGAACGCUGGCGGCGUGCCUAAUACAUGCAAGUCGAGCGAACGGACGAGAAGCUUGCUUCUCUGAUGUUAACGGCGGACGGGUGAGUAACACGUGGAUAACCUACCUAUAAGACUGGGACAACUUCGGGAAACCGGAGCUAAUACCGGAUAAUAUUUUGAACCGCAUGGUUCAAAAGUGAAGGACGGUCUUGCUGUCACUUAUAGAUGGAUCCGCGCUGCAUUAGCUAGUUGGUAAGGUAACGGCUUACCAAGGCAACGAUGCAUAGCCGACCUGAGAGGGGGUUGGGCCACACAGGAACUGAGCCACGGUCCAGAGUCCUACGGGAGGCAGCGGUAGGGAAUCUUCCGAGAUGGGCGAAAGCCUGACGGAGCAACGCCGCGUGAGUGAUGAAGGUCUUCGGAUCGUAAAACUCUGUUAUUAGGGAAGACCAUAUGUGUAAGUAACUGUGCACAUCUUGACGGUACCUAAUCAGAAAGCCACGGCUAACUACGUG
RNAcentral lists this ribosomal RNA (497 nucleotides) under uncultured bacterium. RNAcentral describes it as "partial 16S ribosomal RNA". It matches the Rfam family "Bacterial small subunit ribosomal RNA", at positions 28 to 507 of the family's 1533-position model. The record is from RNAcentral.